Long non-coding RNA from Amphiprion ocellaris (clown anemonefish), 1076 nucleotides. RefSeq lists it as uncharacterized. Lineage: Eukaryota; Metazoa; Chordata; Actinopteri; Pomacentridae. The record is from RefSeq and is a predicted model, not a curated record. The transcript has 3 exons.
CAGAUAGCGGGAGGGGAAAACCUCCUCUCUGAAAGGGAUGAUGUCAGUCUCUGCAGCUGAGCCCCGGUCCCCGACUCGAUAGGGUGAAGACUCACUCCUCCAGAAAAAAAACACAAGACCGGCUGGCACGAGCCACAUCCACAAAGAGGGAGGCAAGGGGUGAGAGGCAGACUGAGGGAAGAAGCAAAGGGAGAGUCUGGUGAAUGAAAUCCUGCAGCACCUGACUGAGGGGCCCCAGAGGAGAUUCUCUGCUGCAGCGUGACGAAGCACGCCACGAGGUUCAGGUCUCAUGGCAAUUCAGACACCGAAGAUGUGAGAACACUACUCCUCUUUGUAUUCCCUGUGCGUUUCUACAUGUAUGCCACUGUGUAGUAUGGCUUUUUAUUCCUAUGUGAUGAUGAAAAAUGUUCAUGUAGGAAUAGAAGCCAUUUUACAUGUGGUGAGAGAGCAACUUGACGGAAACAUGACGCCAGUUUGAGCUCCUCGCCGCCUGCUCAACGGCGCUCGCAGAGAACCAGCAUAUGGCUGGAUAAAUGUAACUGUCUCCUCCUGAAGGUUUCCCUGUAGUAAAGAUACAUUUGUGCUCAUCUUUCAGAUGAUGAGUAAGCUCACUGAAGUACUGAUCUGAAGACAGAAAAAAAGAGAAGCCAGACUUUGUUGUGUGUGCACCUGUUUUUGCCUCCAGGCACAAGGAGUUUCUACUGUUUCCAGUGUUUGAUGCAUGUGGUGACAGCUGUGGUCCACAGGGAUGGAAGCAGGAACAUUUGCAAAACAUGUCAUGAACAAACGAAGAAAAGAGCAAGGACGGACCAAUACAGAUCUUUAAUAACCAACUAUAAAAGAGGCACUUAGUGAACCACUUUACAACUUGCAAGAGGCACUGCAUUUCCCUUUCUUCUCAAUCUGAUUCUUUUUGCACAUUAUUAAAAUAAAACUUUGACAUGAAGCAUUACACCAAACAAUAACCUACCUACAAUAUUAUACAAUAUAAGAUACAUACAGUAUAAACAAGAUAAAGCACCUUUGUUGUCCUAGUAAAUACUAUUCAUAAUUAAACAUUUGGAGUUACAGACACA